AUCAACCAUGUGAAGAACCGACGAUGCAGAUGACCUCGGGAUCCUGUUUACGGGAUGAACCUGCCUAGAGGCGCUGCAUCUACAAGACAUCGACGGGCAAGUCUGAGGU
This 109-nucleotide small nucleolar RNA is filed under the name Triticum aestivum (bread wheat). RNAcentral describes it as "Small nucleolar RNA Z278". It matches the Rfam family "Small nucleolar RNA Z278". From Rfam's summary of the family: snoZ278 is a C/D box small nucleolar RNA. Lineage: Eukaryota; Viridiplantae; Streptophyta; Magnoliopsida; Poales; Poaceae. The record is from Rfam by way of RNAcentral. RNAcentral also lists the same sequence under 1 other name.